CACGUAGGCGGCCAUUCAAGUCAGAGGUGAAAGCCCGGGGCUCAACCCCGGAACUGCCUUUGAAACUAGAUGGCUUGAAUCUUGGAGAGGCGAGCGGAAUUCCGAGUGUAGAGGUGAAAUUCGUAGAUAUUCGGAAGAACACCAGUGGCGAAGGCGACUCGCUAGACAAGUAUUGACGCUGAGGUGCGAAAGCGUGGGGAGCAAACA
This 207-nucleotide ribosomal RNA is filed under the name uncultured bacterium. RNAcentral describes it as "partial 16S ribosomal RNA". It matches the Rfam family "Bacterial small subunit ribosomal RNA", at positions 568 to 774 of the family's 1533-position model. The record is from RNAcentral.